RNAcentral lists this ribosomal RNA (439 nucleotides) under uncultured bacterium. Its description in RNAcentral is "partial 16S ribosomal RNA". It matches the Rfam family "Bacterial small subunit ribosomal RNA", at positions 339 to 795 of the family's 1533-position model. The record is from RNAcentral.
CUACGGGAUGCUCCAGUGGGGAAUAUUGCACAAUGGAGGAAACUCUGAUGCAGCAACGCCGCGUGGAGGAUGACACUUUUCGGAGCGUAAACUCCUUUUAUAUAGGAAGAAGAUGACGGUACUAUAUGAAUAAGCGCCGGCUAACUCCGUGCCAGCAGCCGCGGUAAUACGGAGGGCGCAAGCGUUACUCGGGAUCACUGGGCGUAAAGAGCGUGUAGGCGGAUUAAAAAGUCAGAAGUGAAAUCCUAUAGCUUAACUAUAGAACUGCUUCUGAAACUCUUAAUCUAGAAUAUGUGAGAGGUAGAUGGAAUUUCUGGUGUAGGGGUAAAAUCCGUAGAGAUCAGAAGGAAUACCGAUUGCGAAGGCGAUCUACUAGAACAUUAUUGACGCUGAGACGCGAAAGCGUGGGGAGCAAACAGGAUUAGAUACCCGAGUAGUC